GACGAACGCUGGCGGCGUGCCUAAUACAUGCAAGUAGAACGCUGAAGGAGGAGCUUGCUUCUCUGGAUGAGUUGCGAACGGGUGAGUAACGCGUAGGUAACCUGCCUGGUAGCGGGGGAUAACUAUUGGAAACGAUAGCUAAUACCGCAUAAUAGUAGAUGUUGCAUGACAUUUGCUUAAAAGGUGCAAUUGCAUCACUACCAGAUGGACCUGCGUUGUAUUAGCUAGUUGGUGGGGUAACGGCUCACCAAGGCGACGAUACAUAGCCGACCUGAGAGGGUGAUCGGCCACACUGGGACUGAGACACGGCCCAGACUCCUACGGGAGGCAGCAGUAGGGAAUCUUCGGCAAUGGACGGAAGGCUGACCGAGCAACGCCGCGUGAGUGAAGAAGGGUUUCGGAUCGCAAAGCUCUGUUGUAAGAGAAGAACGAGUGUGAGAGUGGAAAGUUCACACUGUGACGGUAUCUUACCAGAAAGGGACGGCUAACUACGUG
RNAcentral lists this ribosomal RNA (495 nucleotides) under uncultured bacterium. RNAcentral describes it as "partial 16S ribosomal RNA". It matches the Rfam family "Bacterial small subunit ribosomal RNA", at positions 28 to 507 of the family's 1533-position model. The record is from RNAcentral.